GCACCUGUGGCGCAACUGGGUAGACGCAGUCGGCUGAGAACCGGCAUUUUGUGGGUUCGAAUCCCACCGGGUGCACCA
This 78-nucleotide transfer RNA is filed under the name Acidobacteriota bacterium. RNAcentral's name for it is "Acidobacteria bacterium tRNA-Leu". It matches the Rfam family "tRNA". From Rfam's summary of the family: Transfer RNA (tRNA) molecules are approximately 80 nucleotides in length. Their secondary structure includes four short double-helical elements and three loops (D, anti-codon, and T loops). Lineage: Bacteria; Pseudomonadati; Acidobacteriota. The record is from RNAcentral. RNAcentral also lists the same sequence under 1 other name.